Molecule: ribosomal RNA, 242 nt
Filed under: uncultured marine eukaryote
Lineage: Eukaryota
Description: partial 18S ribosomal RNA
Rfam family: Eukaryotic small subunit ribosomal RNA
Source: RNAcentral
CUUAAUUUGACUCAACGCGGGGAAACUCACCAGGUCCAGACACAAUAAGGAUUGACAGAUUGAGAGCUCUUUCUUGAUUUUGUGGGUGGUGGUGCAUGGCCGUUCUUAGUUGGUGGAGUGAUUUGUCUGCUUAAUUGCGAUAACGAACGAGACCUUGGCCUCUAACUAGGGUGCGCAGCGGUAGCUACGCGACCUUCUUAGGGGGACUAUUGAUGUAAGUCGAUGGAAGUUCGAGGCAAUAA